This is a long non-coding RNA of Lepus europaeus (European hare), 379 nucleotides long. RefSeq lists it as uncharacterized. NCBI's taxonomy places the organism in Eukaryota, Metazoa, Chordata, Mammalia, Lagomorpha, Leporidae. The record is from RefSeq and is a predicted model, not a curated record. The transcript is spliced from 3 exons.
UGCGCGCUGACGUCAGGUGCGCGCCCCUGUGCUCCGCCGUGGGGAGCCCGCGCGGUGAUGGCGCGCGCUUCCCCGGUCCGGUGGGAGAGCUGAGCACACCACGGGAACUGAAUGAUGCCACAUGUUAACCUUUUGAACCUGUUUGCUCUUCCAUGAAGACGCAGUCAUUGUGUAUACAAUGAGUCUUCCUCAAGAAGUUCAUGGGACAUGGUUCUGGUACUGUCGCUGAGACACGUGAAGGUCGGAGACUUGGUGUGGAGGCUGGCUCGGCACUGGUGGACGCUGGGAUGGAUUCGUCCUCGUCCGCGGCGGGCUUGGGCGCGGUGGACCCUCAGUUGCAGCAUUUCAUCCAGGUGGAGACCCAGAAGCAGCGCUUCCA